GGUGAGGUGGCCGAGCGGUCUAAGGCGCCAGACUAAGGUUUAGGUGGCGAUCACGAUUGUAUCUGGUCCGAAAGGGCAUGGGUUCGAAUCCCAUCCUCAUCA
This is a non-coding RNA of Mucidula mucida, 102 nucleotides long. The record is from the annotation of a GenBank genome assembly. Lineage: Eukaryota; Fungi; Basidiomycota; Agaricomycetes; Agaricales; Physalacriaceae.